Long non-coding RNA from Oncorhynchus tshawytscha (Chinook salmon), 1976 nucleotides. RefSeq lists it as uncharacterized. NCBI's taxonomy places the organism in Eukaryota, Metazoa, Chordata, Actinopteri, Salmoniformes, Salmonidae. The record is from RefSeq and is a predicted model, not a curated record. The transcript has 4 exons.
CCCCUGCAACAAGGCCUUCCCCUGAUCUGAGCUAAUCCAACAGGCUAAUCUUGCCACUAGCUUGAGAACCACAGGAAUCAUUCUACUCUCCCUCAUUGUGAGGAAAGGUCCCAAUGUUCUAACCCAGCUGGAGUCCCAAGACGGGAUACAUGUGAUAGCACCAUGUGCACCACUACGAUGGUCCUCACCACUAUUGCUGUCAUCCUAUACAGAAAGUUCUCAAACCGAGUCGAACCGCACAAUGUUGAUGAUACCAAUGAGGAGCCCUACAUGAAGAGCAAUGGAGUGGACCCUAAGAAAUAACAACCCUCACAGCAGAUGUAGCUCUAGUCUACAGUGUACAUGGUACAUAAAAGUAAAAUAACAAGUAGCCUACAGAACUGAAUGCUGUCUGAUAUUUCAAGAUGUGUUAAGGAAUACAAGAGGAGGAGGGGAAGAGAGAGGGAGGGAAAAUGGAACAUGUGGCAGAAGUAGAGAUGCAUGAAGUGAGAAGAUGUAUGGCCGUUCCACAUUUAGCUUUCAAGUACUCACCACUACGCUGCUCCCACUAAAUGAUUUAGUGGCAGAACAACAAUCCAUCAGCUCUGUGGAAGGUUAUUAUAAAUGCAUUACCUCCCCAAGCCUACCAGUUCAAUGGAGUCGUGCAGGGCCUCAUAAAUAUGGGUCAAUAUAGGGACACACACAAAAGACUCAGGAUGAAUGAAAUAGGCUUUAUUGUUUUAGUGUGAACUUUCACCCUACCUGUGCGUAGAAGCUCUCAGAUCUGAGGCGGGUCUUUUCAAAUGAAGAGACACACGAACUGAAGACAGGUCUUCACCUUGAUGGCUACACAUCUGAUCCCUCUAAUAUUAUUUCAGCAGAGGAUUGUCCCAGGAGGCCUCCCUCCUCCUUCUUGAGGCAGGAGAAUUACAUUUCUGGGAAUGAAACCUCAACCAAUCACAUCUUGGUGGAGCUGAAUCUACAGAACAACGUCUUGGUUUAUUGUGGGUUUCUUGUUUUGUAGAGUUGGAUGUUUUCUUAAGGCUUAAAGUAGGCCAAUGAUCAAUGUAAAACUGUUGGAAUGUGUUCCGUGCCUCAAAAAACAGUAGUUUUCUUUGAUUGUCAAAUAGGGCUAUACAGAUGUGUCCAUUGAGUAAAUUAUAAUGGCUUUUAAAGAAGAGGCAGAACUUUAAAAUUAUGCACUUUAAAUGGUAGGAUGUUUUUGGUAAUCUUUCACAUUCCUAAAGUGACUUAAAUAUUGUUUUUGACUGAAACAAGGAGCUACGGAUAAGCAAUAUGUUUAAAAUGAAUCGCUUGAACCCAUAAAUAUUUGACCAAAUGUCAGAGAACAUAAAUGUCUUGUCGUGAAGAUGUUUGUGCCAUGGCUACUCAAUCUGAAGAGCAAUGGAAAGAGGCAUCUGUUUUGUACCUCUCUGUCAACCCUCUCCAGUCACAAUGCAUUGCUAUGUGAUGAAAGAAAACCUGCAAGUGAAUCACCUCUUCCCCUACACCUUUAGCAUCCCGUUGGUCCCAUUGAAGGAGCAACAGUCAGAAAGAGGUGUCUGCCUAUGUUCAAAACACAGCUCCAACUUUACUUGACAUUUUUAAAAGCAGCUAGGUGUCACCUUAGUAAACGUCUGCCUUGAGUCAGAGCUUGGUGAUGAUGGUGGUUACUGGUAGGACGGUUUGUUACAGAAUCGACUUUCCUUUGACAUGACAUCUUACAACCUACUUCUUCUCUCUAAAGCAAACAUUAUGUCUGUUCUUUGCUCUCCCCACCUGAUCAAAUAAAGAGAUUGGGAAAAAUGUAGUUAGUUUGUACAUAUUUUUAUGGCCUUGGUUUGAAUUUUCUCUUGUUGUAGGAUACCUACUCCCAAAUGUUGCAUUGUAUGUACUGCAUGAUGACCAUUACUGUAUUACCACUUAUAAGAGACCCUUCAACAUGUAACAUACACAGUCUGAGAUAUUGAAUCUGUUCAUGUUUGUUUUUUUAACCA